Manis pentadactyla (Chinese pangolin) is the source of this 1565-nucleotide long non-coding RNA. RefSeq lists it as uncharacterized. The record is from RefSeq and is a predicted model, not a curated record. The transcript is spliced from 6 exons. NCBI's taxonomy places the organism in Eukaryota, Metazoa, Chordata, Mammalia, Pholidota, Manidae.
AUUUUUAUUGCAGCAUUAUUCACAAUAGCCAAACAGGGAAACAACCUAAGUGUCUGACAACAAAUAAAUGGAUAAAGAAAGUAUGGUAUGCAUAUAAAGGGAAUAUUAUUCAGCCAUGACAAAUAAGGAAAUCAUGUUCUUUGUCACAACAAGGCUGGACUGUGAAGGCAUAUGUUAAGUGGAACAAGCCAAAGACACACUGCAUGGCGUUGUUUACAUGUGGAAUCUAAAAUACAAGCAGAACUGAUAGAAACAGAAUAGAAAAGAGGUUGUGGCAGAGGCUUGGGGGUGAGGGAAGAAGGGGCUUCCUCUGCUGAUUGGCUGGGCGGGGGGCCUGGACACACACUGAGAGACCAGAGGACAGGACUCUGGUUGGAGGUGGGGCUCAGGUGGGGUGAAAACAGCCGGGACAGAGCCUCUGGCUGCAGGAGGGAGUGGCUUCUCCUCUGUGGACCUCUGAGCAAGUCCCUGUCCCUCUUUGAGACUCCUCAUCUGGAGAAAGGAGGGUGAUGAUCCUGUGGGGCAGGACUCACAGGGUUGGUGAUGAGGUUCAAGGGAGGGAGGGAGUGUGCUGGAGGUGUGGGAGGAGAACAAAGAUGCCAGUAAUAUGACACUGAGUCCUCAGGAGACCCUGUGAGGUAGGUGGAGUUGUCCUCACACUUUCCAGAUGAGGAAAUGGGCUCAGGGAGGCCCGGCCAAAGGCCCAAAGCUGCAUACAGUGCGAGUGUUAGAGCUGGGACUGUUCUGGAAUCAGAGUGCCCUGUAGGACAAAGUAGCACGGAUACCAACUGACUUGGAGGGGAGACUGCCAAGUUUGCCGUCCUGGAGACGAGCUUCCAGAGAGCCCACAAGCAGCAGCAGCAGGUUUGCUGGGCAAGUUUGACAACAGAGAAGUGGGAGACCCACCAAACUGGCAGGGUGGAGGAAGAGGGCUGGCAUCAAAGACAACAUCCUGGAGGAGGGGCUGUUUACACCUGUCUCUGAGAACAGGAAUACAAAGUAAUGAGGGAGACCUGGCUCCUCAGAGGGCUGCUAAUCAUUACAACCUAGAGCCUGAGGAAAAAUUUGGAGCCUGUUUUCAGUAUAUGGAGCAACUCAGUGAGGAUGAAGGCUACAACUUGUCCUACCAGCUGGAGCUCUGGUCCUAGAUGGCCAGCAGAACACUCAAGGCCGAGAGGGGCUGACCACCAGAGAGCUCAGCGGCGAAUGGGUGUCCAGGCUACUGUGGCUGAAUCCUAGGGGCUCGAGCGACCAGGCCUCCGAAACAGAGUGCAGUACCAGUGGCGGAUCACACUUCUGAGACCAGCUCAAGUAAGGCAGCAGCAGGGACCCAGCGGGGGCUCUCAUAGGCACUGGGUCAGCCCCUCCUCUGAGGUGAAGAACACUGUGAGCCUUUCCGUGGGGUCCCCUGAAGGGCAGAAUAAAAGAUGACCCUGCUUCAUCCCCCAGCUGCGCUUCCCUAAGGCCUAUUUACCUAUUGCCUAUUGUGGAGGGGUAACGUUUAUUUGUUGUGAGCAGCAAAUGCUGGAUUUGAAUAUUAUUAUACUAAAAUCCUAUUUCUUUUA